Ricinus communis (castor bean) is the source of this 1111-nucleotide RNA transcript. It is a transcript of the gene named AP-3 complex subunit sigma, with no coding region annotated. The transcript has 8 exons. The record is from RefSeq and is a predicted model, not a curated record. Lineage: Eukaryota; Viridiplantae; Streptophyta; Magnoliopsida; Malpighiales; Euphorbiaceae.
UAGUCGUCAUCUUUGAGAUCAGGUCUAAAUACUUAAUUCUUCCAUAAGAAUAACCUGAAAUUACUCCAAACAUUGGUGUCUACAAUUGGAGAUGAAAGUGAUAUAGAAAGCAAAAAUGAUAAAAGCGGUCCUAGUAAUGAAUACGCAGGGCAAACCUCGCCUUGCCAAAUUUUACGAUUUCCUGAGUGUAGAGAAGCAGCAGGAGCUUAUACGCAGCGUAUUUGGAGUUUUAUGCAGUAGAGCUGAGAAUGUUAGCAAUUUCAUGGAGGCAGAUUCCAUCUUUGGUCCGGAUAGUCGUCUUGUAUACAAACACUAUGCAACUCUGUACUUUGUUUUUGUAUAUGAUUCUUGUGAAAAUGAGCUUGCCGUGCUUGAUCUCAUACAAGUUUUUGUAGAAACACUGGACAAAUGCUUCAGAAAUGUGUGCGAGCUUGAUAUAGUGUUCAAUUACAGCAAGUUGCAUACAAUUUUAGAUGAGAUAAUAUUUGGAGGUCAGGUGCUCGAGACAAGUUCUACUGAAGUUAUGAAGGCCGUUGAAGAAAUAUCAAAGCUUGAAGCAUCCUCGUAUUCUAUGACAUUAGUUCCCAAAACUGUUGCCAGUUGGCGGAACCGGUAGGAUUGCCUUAAAAAGAGAUGUUAAAAUGGCCACAGAAGGCUAUGUCUCUCAGACCUGAAGCUUCUUACAAGUCCGACAUUUCUGUAUUAAGCAGGUUGCUAUAGUAUUAGUUCCCUGCCUUGAUAAAUAUUUCAAAGCAUUGUAUUGGGAAGAACCUUGAUAAAUACUUCAGGCAGCUACAUCAGAAGUGAUAUAAAUGUUUUUGGCCUUCAUGCUACAAUUUACAGUCGCAACCACCCUUCUUUAGUACAAGGAUAUAAGAGCACUGAAAUUAAUUCACAACUGAGACGAGGAAUAUUCAAUUGCAGAUGAGUUCUCUGUUUCUGUAUCAAAUGAAUUCUGCACUUUGAAAUGCAUAGAGUUUUGAUAUUGAAGGCUUUUCUUAAUGAACAGCUGUGAAUUUCUCUUGCUAGAAAAUUUUGUCAACUUUUUGAAAUUCGCUAGUCAUGUUUUAUGAUUUCAAUGCUUGUGAUAGCCGAGGUUUUUCCUUUCAAA